UUGCUCACUUCAGCAGCACAUACAAUAAAAUUUGAAUACAGAGAAGAUUAGCAUGGCCCUGUGCAAGGAUGCAUGCAAAUUGUGAAAUAAAGAGGGCGAGAGAGAGACUUGUUU
RNAcentral lists this small nuclear RNA (114 nucleotides) under Castor canadensis (American beaver). The record is from RNAcentral. Lineage: Eukaryota; Metazoa; Chordata; Mammalia; Rodentia; Castoridae.